GUAUAGGAGCCGUUUAGGGUAGAACCGGUAACUGGGGCUAAGUCGUAACAAGGUAGCCGUACCGGAAGGUGCGGCUGGAACACCUCCUUU
RNAcentral lists this ribosomal RNA (90 nucleotides) under Algoriphagus oliviformis. RNAcentral describes it as "Algoriphagus sp. H41 partial 16S ribosomal RNA". It matches the Rfam family "Bacterial small subunit ribosomal RNA", at positions 1444 to 1533 of the family's 1533-position model. The record is from RNAcentral. Lineage: Bacteria; Pseudomonadati; Bacteroidota; Cytophagia; Cytophagales; Cyclobacteriaceae.